Arachis ipaensis is the source of this 156-nucleotide non-coding RNA. The record is from RefSeq and is a predicted model, not a curated record. Lineage: Eukaryota; Viridiplantae; Streptophyta; Magnoliopsida; Fabales; Fabaceae.
CCUUGAUAUGUUUGUUGAGUGAUUUCAGGUUCAUAAGGCAAGUAUUGGAUGGAAGAAGUGAAGAGAAAAGCAUGCAAAGUGGAGAAUGCAUGAAGAAAUGGGAAUUUGGAGAAUUAAGGGCCACGCGCGCGCGUGACACUGAGAACAUUACCUCAG